This 305-nucleotide ribosomal RNA is filed under the name uncultured bacterium. RNAcentral describes it as "bacterial SSU rRNA". It matches the Rfam family "Bacterial small subunit ribosomal RNA", at positions 335 to 638 of the family's 1533-position model. The record is from RNAcentral.
AUCCUAUGGGGCGCAGCAGUGAGGAAUAUUGGUCAAUGGCCGGAAGGCUGAACCAGCCAAGCCGCGUGAAGGACGAAGGUGCCAAGCAUUGUAAACUUCUUUUGUCAAGGGACAAAAUCAGGCUCGAGAGCCUGACCGAGGGUACUUGAAGAAAAAGCAUCGGCUAACUCCGUGCCAGCAGCCGCGGUAAUACGGAGGAUGCGAGCGUUAUCCGGAUUUAUUGGGCGUAAAGGGAACGCAGGCGGACUUUUAAGUCUGAUGUGAAAGCCUUCGGCUUAACCGGGGUAGUGCAUUGGAAACUGGGG